This 816-nucleotide ribosomal RNA is filed under the name uncultured bacterium. Its description in RNAcentral is "bacterial SSU rRNA". It matches the Rfam family "Bacterial small subunit ribosomal RNA", at positions 8 to 853 of the family's 1533-position model. The record is from RNAcentral.
AGAGUUUGAUCAUGGCUCAGGAUGAACGCUGGCGGCGUGCCUAACACAUGCAAGUCGAGCGAUCUUCUUCGGAAGAGAGCGGCGGACGGGUGAGUAACGCGUGGGUAACCUGCCCUGUACACACGGAUAACAUACCGAAAGGUAUGCUAAUACGAGAUAAUAUGCUUUUAUCGCAUGGUAGAAGUAUCAAAGCUCCGGCGGUACAGGAUGGACCCGCGUCUGAUUAGCUAGUUGGUAAGGUAACGGCUUACCAAGGCGACGAUCAGUAGCCGACCUGAGAGGGUGAUCGGCCACAUUGGAACUGAGACACGGUCCAAACUCCUACGGGAGGCAGCAGUGGGGAAUAUUGCACAAUGGGCGAAAGCCUGAUGCAGCAACGCCGCGUGAGCGAUGAAGGCCUUCGGGUCGUAAAGCUCUGUCCUCAAGGAAGAUAAUGACGGUACUUGAGGAGGAAGCCCCGGCUAACUACGUGCCAGCAGCCGCGGUAAUACGUAGGGGGCUAGCGUUAUCCGGAAUUACUGGGCGUAAAGGGUGCGUAGGUGGUUUCUUAAGUCAGAGGUGAAAGGCUACGGCUCAACCGUAGUAAGCCUUUGAAACUGGGAAACUUGAGUGCAGGAGAGGAGAGUGGAAUUCCUAGUGUAGCGGUGAAAUGCGUAGAUAUUAGGAGGAACACCAGUUGCGAAGGCGGCUCUCUGGACUGUAACUGACACUGAGGCACGAAAGCGUGGGGAGCAAACAGGAUUAGAUACCCUGGUGGUCCACGCCGUAAACGAUGAGUACUAGCUGUCGGAGGUUACCCCCUUCGGUGGCGCAGCU